This 1520-nucleotide ribosomal RNA is filed under the name metagenome. RNAcentral's name for it is "bacterial SSU rRNA". It matches the Rfam family "Bacterial small subunit ribosomal RNA". The record is from RNAcentral.
AGAGUUUGAUCCUGGCUCAGAAUGAACGCUGGCGGCGUGCUUAACACAUGCAAGUCGUACGAGAACGCUUCAGCUUGCUGAAGCUAGUAAAGUGGCGUACGGGUGAGUAACGCGUGGGUAAUCUACCUUCGAAUUGGGGAUAACGUUGCGAAAGUGACGCUAAUACCGGAUAAUAUCAUAGAGACUUUGGUUUUUAUGAUCAAAGAUGGCCUCUCCUUGGAAGCUAUUGUUUGGAGAUGAGCCCGCGUCCCAUUAGCUUGUUGGUGGGGUAAUGGCCUACCAAGGCUACGAUGGGUAGCUGGUCUGAGAGGAUGAUCAGCCACACUGGAACUGACACACGGUCCAGACUCCAACGGGAGGCAGCAGUGAGGAAUUUUGCGCAAUGGGGGAAACCCUGACGCAGCAACGCCGCGUGAGUGAUGAAGGCUUUCGGGUCGUAAAGCUCUGUCAAGUGGGAAGAACUCCCGUGAGGUUAAUACCCUCAUGGUUUGACGGUACCACUGAAGGAAGCACCGGCUAACUCCGUGCCAGCAGCCGCGGUAAUACGGGGGGUGCAAGCGUUAUUCGGAUUUACUGGGCGUAAAGCGCGCGUAGGCGGCCGUUUAAGUCAGAUGUGAAAGCCCGGGGCUCAACCCCGGAAGUGCAUUUGAUACUAUUCGGCUUGAGUAUGGGAGAGGGAAGUGGAAUUCCUGGUGUAGAGGUGAAAUUCGUAGAUAUCAGGAGGAACACCGGUGGCGAAGGCGACUUCCUGGACCAAUACUGACGCUGAGGCGCGAAGGCGUGGGUAGCAAACAGGAUUAGAUACCCUGGUAGUCCACGCCCUAAACGAUGUCAACUAGACGUUGGGUUCAUUAAGGAACUUAGUGUCGAAGCUAACGCGUUAAGUUGACCGCCUGGGGAGUACGGCCGCAAGGUUGAAACUCAAAGGAAUUGACGGGGGCCCGCACAAGCGGUGGAGCAUGUGGUUUAAUUCGAUGCAACGCGAAGAACCUUACCAGCCCUUGACAUCCUGGGAAUUUUGUAGAGAUACAUUAGUGCCUUCGGGAAUCCAGUGACAGGUGCUGCAUGGCUGUCGUCAGCUCGUGUCGUGAGAUGUUGGGUUAAGUCCCGCAACGAGCGCAACCCUUGUCCUUAGUUGCCAGCACGUAAUGGUGGGAACUCUAAGGAGACUGCCGGUGAUAAACCGGAGGAAGGUGGGGAUGACGUCAAGUCAUCAUGGCCCUUAUGGGCUGGGCUACACACGUGCUACAAUGGUCGGUACAGAGGGCCGCAAUCCCGCGAGGGGGAGCCAAUCCCAGAAAGCCGAUCUUAGUCCGGAUCGCAGUCUGCAACUCGACUGCGUGAAGUCGGAAUCGCUAGUAAUCGCGAAUCAGCAAUGUCGCGGUGAAUACGUUCCCGGGCCUUGUACACACCGCCCGUCACACCAUGGGAGUGGGUUGCACCAGAAGUAGAUAGCUUAACCUUCGGGAGGGCGUUUACCACGGUGUGAUUCAUGACUGGGGUGAAGUCGAAACAAGGUA